Molecule: ribosomal RNA, 482 nt
Filed under: uncultured bacterium
Lineage: Bacteria
Description: partial 16S ribosomal RNA
Rfam family: Bacterial small subunit ribosomal RNA
Source: RNAcentral
AUUGAACGCUGGCGGCAUGCUUUACACAUGCCAGUCGAACGGUAACAGGCCGCAAGGUGCUGACGAGUGGCGAACGGGUGAGUAAUGCAUCGGAACGUGCCCAGUCGUGGGGGAUAACUACUCGAAAGAGUAGCUAAUACCGCAUACGAUCUAUGGAUGAAAGCGGGGGACCGUAAGGCCUCGCGCGAUUGGAGCGGCCGAUGUCAGAUUAGGUAGUUGGUGGGGUAAAGGCUCACCAAGCCAACGAUCUGUAGCUGGUCUGGGAGGACAACCAGCCACACUGGGACUGAGACACGGCCCAGACUCCUACGGGAGGCAGCAGUGGGGAAUUUUGGACAAUGGGCGCAAGCCUGAUCCAGCAAUGCCGCGUGCAGGAAGAAGGCCUUCGGGUUGUAAACUGCUUUUGUACGGAACGAAACGGCUCUGGUUAAUACCCGGGGCUAAUGACGGUACCGUAAGAAUAAGCACCGGCUAACUACGUG